This 90-nucleotide transfer RNA is filed under the name Planctomycetota bacterium. RNAcentral's name for it is "Planctomycetes bacterium tRNA-Ser". It matches the Rfam family "tRNA". Rfam says of the family: Transfer RNA (tRNA) molecules are approximately 80 nucleotides in length. Their secondary structure includes four short double-helical elements and three loops (D, anti-codon, and T loops). The record is from RNAcentral. Lineage: Bacteria; Pseudomonadati; Planctomycetota.
GGAGAGGUGACCGAGUGGCUGAAGGUGCUCGCCUGGAAAGCGGGUGUGUCAGCAAUGGCACCGCGGGUUCGAAUCCCGCCCUCUCCGCCA